GAAAUGCGAUAAGUAAUGUGAAUUGCAGAAUUCCGUGAAUCAUCGAAUCUUUGAACGCACAUUGCGCCCUCUGGCAUUCCGGGGGGCAUGCCUGUCCGAGCGUCAUUUAAACCUUCAAGCUCAGCUUGGUGAUGGGUGACUGUCCCCUCCUCGCGGGGGGACUCGCCUCAAAAACAUUGGCGGCCGGUACAUUGGCUUCGAGCGCAGCAGAAACGCGGUCUCGAGCCCGGUGGAUCGGCUCCCACAAGCCUAUUCUUUUAUUUUGACCUCGGAUCAGGUAGGGAUACCCGCUGAACUUAAGC
RNAcentral lists this unclassified non-coding RNA (302 nucleotides) under plant metagenome. Its description in RNAcentral is "partial contains 5.8S ribosomal RNA, internal transcribed spacer 2, and large subunit ribosomal RNA". The stretch from base 1 to 105 matches the Rfam family "5.8S ribosomal RNA", at positions 50 to 154 of the family's 154-position model. The record is from RNAcentral.